Molecule: non-coding RNA, 100 nt
Organism: Acanthosepion pharaonis
Lineage: Eukaryota; Metazoa; Mollusca; Cephalopoda; Sepiida; Sepiidae
Source: the annotation of a GenBank genome assembly
UGUUAAAACACCGGUUCUCAUAAUAUCACCGAAGUUAAUCAACGUUGAGCCUGGUCAAUACCUAGAUGGGUGACCGAUCAGGAAUAUCAGGUGCUGUAAG